AAGCUCCAAUGCUGACUGAACCAACACAAGGCCCCAAGCCCCAAGCUAAGUGUACACUCCUCAUUCAUGAGCCCCUUUACCUGCACGCAGCCCUGUGAGGCUGGUAUUGCUAUUCUUUUAUUAAAGUGAAAUGCCCUGGUUCUCCUCUUGAGGUCCUAUUCCCCGCUUUCUGCAUUAUUAGGACUUACCUGUCAAAAUUUCUCAACAGGUCACUUUAGACGUCAUUUGGGAUUUUCCCAGCUCAGCUUUCCGUCCCCACCUCUGCAGGGUGUCCUGAAUAUGAGUCAUGAUUGACAGUCUUCCUGGCCACACCCCCACCCCACCCCAGGAACUAUCCUAGAUUCUGGGCCCUCGAUCACCCAGCCUAUUGUCCUGUGGUACAAUCUCCCCACCAAUCUUUUGUGGGCCAGGCCCUGGGAGAGGAACCAGACCCAAUUCCUGCCACCUACCUGGCCUCUGGGGAGAGGCAGAGCCCAGUCAAUACCCUAAGAGAUGAGCAGGGACAGGACGCGGGGCAGGGGGCGAAGCAGGGGUACUCACCCCAGCAUGCUCUUCUGGGGGCGCCCAGCACCAUGGGGCAAGGAUGCCUGGACACUUCUUUUUGUUUGCAUAUCAUGUUAUGAGUAGCUAACAGCAGGCUCUUCCUGAGCGCCAGGCCCCAGCAAGCUCCUCAGAGCAAUUUCAUGAGGGAGGGAUUUGUUAUCCUUAUUUUUCACGGGAAGAAACUGAAGCUCAAAGGGAAUCAGUAACUUGCCCAACAUGGCACAGGCAGCUAAUGAGGGGUAGAGGCAGCACCUGAACUCAGACCCUCUGACCAGGGCCUGCGCUCGCACCCACUGUGCUGUACAUUACCCUUACAUGAAUCACAUUUGUAUUCAGGAGGGAAAGGAAAUAAAAAAUUAGAAUUCUCUUCAAGAAGCUAGACUCAGCUGGGCUCCAGGACUGAGACUGAAAAGGCCCCAGGCCCUAGGAUUUGCCCUCCUAAGCUCCGGGCUAUGUGACAGCAGCAAAGCGUACAGGUAUCAGGGACAGAGGAAGCCCUGGGGUAGGGGCAGACAGAGGCACAGAGCAGCUUUUUGGUGAAGAAAGGGCCCUGAAUUCUCAAUCACAAAAUCCAAGCUCCCACGUCAGUCCGGAUUACAAGUUUCCUGUUUCCGAGAUGGGGAGACCCCCCCCAACCCUGAGGCCACCCCCCCAGCCCCUGCUGGUCCCUGCCUCCUUGCCUCUCCCAUCAGGGGAACCCCACUCUUCACACUCCCACGUUGCUUUUGCAGGUUCCUGGGUCCUGCCUCCUGACUGGCUGGUACUGCCCAGGGCAGGUGUCUACCUCUACCUGUCAAGCAGCUGCAGAGCACUCACGAGAGAGGGCCACUGGAGCCCUGGCUGGAGGGGCUGCAAUUCCAUGAAUCAGACCACUGCUGAGGAGCAGGUCAGGGUGCAGGAAGCUGCUUGUGGAGCAGGGAGGAGGCAGAGGGCAGGCUGGCCCUCACAGGGGAUGAAAGCUGCUGUGGCUGGCUGAGGCAUAUGUCUCACUCUGUGCUGUCCCCCACUGCACUUGACAUGUUUCAUUUCUCUUAUUAGCUUCAUUUUAUAAAUGGGAAAUGGGGAGCUCAAAGAGGUCAUGUAACCUGUCCUAAGCUGUACCACACCACUUUAGGGACUCAAUCCCUAGCCUGACUGCAGAGUCAAUGGGCUGUGACUAUAAGCACUGCCUCCCAGAGGCUGGCCCUGGCAGCUGAACAGGAUCAGUGUAGUCAGACAGCCAGCAUGGUGAACUGAGUCAAACAGGUAUAGACAGCAACCCCUCAGAAGUGUCUGCACAUAGUAGAUGCUCAAUAAAUAUUUGUUGAAUAAAAGAAUUGAGGCACUUUAGGAGGCUGAGGCGGGUGGAUCACGAGGUCAGGAGAUCGAGACCAUUCUGGCUAACACGGUGAAACUCCGUCUCUACUAAAAAUACAAAAAAAAAAUAUUAGCUGGGUGUGGUCACAGGUGCCUGUAGUCCCAGCUACUCAGCAGGCUGAGGCAGGAGAAUGGCGUGAACCCGGGAUGCGGAGCUUGCAGUGAGCCAAGAUAGUGCCACUGCACUCCAGCCUGGGCGACAGUGCAAGACGCCAUCUAAAAAAGAAAAAAAAAAAAAAAAGAAUUGAGGGAAGGCCCUCCCUCACCCCCACAUUCCACAAAACAAAUCUUGACCCUUUCCCCCUCUCUGCACUCCUUUGUGUCCUCUCUCUUGCAUCUUCCCUUCUGCCACUCACUCGCUCACUCCUUUUCAGCACAGGCAGCUCUUGGCACCGCUUUUAAAAGUGUUUCUGAACAAUAAAAAAAACAAAUUCAAAAAUGGGCAAAGGGCUUGAAUAGACAUUUCUCCAAACAAGAUAUACAAAUGACCAAUAAGCACAUGAAAAGAGGCUCAACAUUGCUAGUUAUUAGGAAAAUGCAAAUCAAAACCACAAUGAGAUAGCGCCUCACACCCAUCAGGAUGACUAUUAUCAAAAAAGAAAAUAACAAGUGUUGGCAAGGAUGCGGAGAAAUUGGGACCCUUGUGCAUUGCUUCUGGGAAUGUAAAAUGGAACAGCCACUACAGAAAACAGUACGAUGGACCAGGCGCGGUGGCUCACGCCUGUAAUCCCAACACUUUGGGAGGCCAGGGUGGGCAGAUCAUUUGAGGUCAGGAGUUUGAGACCAGCCUGACCAACAUGGUGAAACCCUGUCUCUACUAAAACUACAAAAAAAUUAGCUGGGCAUGGUGGCACAUGCUUGUAGUCCCAGCUACUCAGGAGGCUGAGGCAGGAGAAUCGCUUGAACCCAGGAGUUGGAGGUUGCAGUGAGCCAAGAUCAUGCCACUGCACUCCAGCCUGGGCAACAGAGUGAGAGUCUGUCAAAAACAAACAAACAAACAGCAACAACAAAAAAAUAACAGUAUGAUGAUUCCUCAAAAAAAUUAAACAUGGAAUUACCAUAUGAUCAGUAAGUUCUCUUCUGGGUAUAUACUCAAAAAUAAAUGAAAGCAGAGGCUCAGAGAGAUAUUUGCAUACCCACGUUCACAGCAGUAGCUAAAACAUGUUUAUCGCAAUAGCCAAAAAGUGGUAGCAACCCCAGUGCCCAUCAGCAGAUGAAUGGAUAAACAAAAUGUGGUGUAUACAUAUGGUGGAAUAUUAUUCAGCCUUAAAAAGUAAAUUCUGACACAACUACAACAUGGAUGAACCUUGAAUACAUUGUGAUAAGUGAAAUAAGCCAGUCACGAAAGGACAAAGAUUGUGAUUACACUUACAUGAAGUUCCUAGAAGAGGUGAAAUCAUAGAAAAUAGAAUGGUGGCUGCCAAGGGCUGAGGGAUGGGAAAAGGGGAGCUACUGUUUAAUGGGUACAGAGUCUCAGGAAGGAUGAAAAAGCUCUGGAGAUGGAUGGUGGUGAUGGUUGCAUAACAAUGUGAAUGUACUUAAUGCCAUUGAACUGUACAGCUUAAAAGGUUAAAGUGGUAAAUUUUAUGUUAUGUAUAUUUUUACCUCAAUUUUAUUCCAAAAGUAUAUCUGUGUUUAUGCCCUUCGUUACCCAGAGAGGCAUUUAGAGGCUGGUUCCCAGGACUCCCAGGGGCUGUGUUCACUGUUUGGCAAACCUUUCCCUAGAAUCCUCUUCGACCAGCAGCCCCUUGGAGGCCCCAACAAUAGCUGACCCCUUGCAUGGCCCUCAUCCUGACUCUUCAUCUUUCUAUGCAGCAUAGCAGUGGGACCCCAUUAAGGACACUUCCUUUAUCUAGCGUCUACUAUGUGGCCAAGAAAGAGCAACCCGGGAUGCAUGACUUUUCUUGGGUCAGAUAAAAAACUCCAGCCAAGAGUCUCUCAAGGCACCCCUUCCAGAUGCCCACAGCUGCCACUCCUGCUGAUCGAGUUAUGAGUGGGUGCAAGGGCAGGCAGAGGAAACUGCCUGCAAGUCGCCACCCUAGAGGGCCAGCCUUGUGGGCAUCCGGACACCGACCAGGCUGGUGCAUCCUGCCUGCUGUGACCUGCUCACGCCUGCUUAGCACAUCCCAUCUGCAGCCAAGCCUCCACCAUGUGGGCCUGCUGUACUGAAGCCCAGGGAAAGGCGAUGUCAAGCCAAACCUCUCUCUCUGCCCAGGCUGUAAUUUCCUGAUUAGACGCCGCAGUCACCACCCUUUCUGCACACACUGAUUUCUUCCUGCUGUCCUCCCAAUCUCCCGGCUCCCGGGGCUCCCAGGGCCAGCAGACUUCAGAGCCUGGACCAAGCAGUGAGAAGGUGCCAGUGAACUCACUGGCCAACCAAGACCCGUCUGUGCAACCACCGCCCCCUUCUCAGAGUUAGGCCCCUCUCAGAAGGGAAUCAUGGCUUGGUUCUUAAAGUUGAAAAAAUAGCUGCUUCAGUAAGAAAGAAUAAGGUUGCUAUGAGGCAGUAGAGCAGAGGGGCCUGUGUUCAAAUACUGACUCUGCCCUUUAAUGAUAACCUUGGCCCAGUGAGUCUGAGUGCUGGCUUGCCUGCCUAUAAAAGGGGA
Molecule: long non-coding RNA, 4505 nt
Filed under: Homo sapiens (human)
Lineage: Eukaryota; Metazoa; Chordata; Mammalia; Primates; Hominidae
Description: HSALNT0094727
Source: RNAcentral